AGGACAUGCAUUUGCACAAAUUCUUCCAGUACUGCCAGCUGGUUCAAGCAGGAGCUAAGGAAGUCCCAGGGGACCUUGUUAAAUACUUAAAGUGUUUGCACGCCAUGGAGAUCCAAGUAAUGAUUCAGUUUCUACCUGUAAUUCUUAUGCAACUAUUUAGAGUCCUUACAAAUGUGACCCAGGAAGAUGAAGUAGCUGUCAACUGCACCAUGGUCCUCCUGCACAUCGUGUCCAAAUGCCACGAGGAAGGCCUGGAGCACUACCUGCGCUCCUUCCUAAAG
Non-coding RNA from Tinamus guttatus (white-throated tinamou), 281 nucleotides. The record is from RefSeq and is a predicted model, not a curated record. NCBI's taxonomy places the organism in Eukaryota, Metazoa, Chordata, Aves, Tinamiformes, Tinamidae.